UAACUGAAGAGUUUGAUCAUGGCUCAGAUUGAACGCUGGCGGCAGGCUUAACACAUGCAAGUCGAGCGGAGAGAGGUAGCUUGCUACUGAUCUUAGCGGCGGACGGGUGAGUAAUGCUUAGGAAUCUGCCUAUUAGUGGGGGACAACAUUUCGAAAGGAAUGCUAAUACCGCAUACGUCCUACGGGAGAAAGCAGGGGAUCUUCGGA
RNAcentral lists this ribosomal RNA (207 nucleotides) under Acinetobacter pittii. Its description in RNAcentral is "partial 16S ribosomal RNA". It matches the Rfam family "Bacterial small subunit ribosomal RNA", at positions 1 to 209 of the family's 1533-position model. Lineage: Bacteria; Pseudomonadati; Pseudomonadota; Gammaproteobacteria; Moraxellales; Moraxellaceae. The record is from RNAcentral.